GCAGCCGCGGUAAUACGAGGGGCCCGAGCGUUAUUCGGAAUCACUGGGCUUAAAGGGAACGCAGGCUGGCUCGCAAGCAUCUCGUGAAAUCCCCCGGCUCAACCGGGGAACUGCGGGGUGAACUGCGAGCCUUGAGGUGGGUAGAGGUCGUCGGAACGAUCGGUGGAGCGGUGAAAUGCGUAGAUAUCGAUCGGAACGCCAAAGGUGAAGACAGGCGACUGGGCCCAACCUGACGCUCAUGUUCGAAAGCGUGGGGAGCAAACAGGAUUAGAUACCCUGGUAGUCCACGCCCUAAACGUUGUGCACUAGGCCCCGGGCGUUUCAACGCGUUCGGGGUCGAAGAGAAAUCGAUAAGUGCACCGCCUGGGGAGUACGGUCGCAAGGCUAAAACUCAAAGGAAUUGACGGGGGCUCACACAAGCGGUGGAGCAUGUUGCUUAAUUCGAAGCAACGCGAAGAACCUUACCUGGGCUUGACAUGCACGGAUUAACUCUAUGAAAGUAGAGCCACGCCUUCGGGUGGAACGUGCACAGGUGCUGCAUGGCUGUCGUCAGCUCGUGCUGUGAAGUGUCGGGUUAAGUCCCUUAACGAGCGCAACCCUUAUCGCUAGUUGCCAUCAGGUUAUGCUGGGGACUCUAGCGAGACUGCCGGUGUCAAACCGGAGGAAGGUGGGGAUGACGUCAAGUCCUCAUGGCCCUUAUGUCCAGGGAUGCAAACGUGCUACAAUGGCGUGUACAGAGCGAUGCGAGCCCGCGAGGGGGAGCAAAUCGCAAAAAGCACGCCCCAGUUCGGAUUGCAGGCUGCAACUCGCCUGCAUGAAGCCGGAAUCGCU
Molecule: ribosomal RNA, 831 nt
Filed under: uncultured organism
Description: bacterial SSU rRNA
Rfam family: Bacterial small subunit ribosomal RNA
Source: RNAcentral